CCUACGGGAGGCAGCAGUGGGGAAUAUUGCACAAUGGGGGAAACCCUGAUGCAGCGACGCCGCGUGAGUGAAGAAGUAUUUCGGCAUGUAAAGCCCUAUCAGCAGGGAAGAAAAUGACGGUACCUGAUCAAGAAGCCCCGGCUAACUACGUGCCAGCAGCCGCGGUAAUACGUAGGGGGCAAGCGUUAUCCGGAUUUACUGGGUGAAAAGGGGGCGCAGACGGCAGCACAAGCCUGGAGUGAAAUCCCGGGGCUCAACCCCGUCGUGCCGUUGGAACUGACGCGCUUGAGUUAAUGAGAGGUAAGCGGAAUGCGUGGUGUAGCGGUGAAAUGCAUAGAUAUCACGCAGAACGCCGAUUGCGAAGGCAGCUUACCGGCGCUCAACUGACGCUGAGGCACGAAGGUGCGGGUAUCGAACAGGAUUAGAUACCCGAGUAGUC
This 439-nucleotide ribosomal RNA is filed under the name uncultured bacterium. RNAcentral describes it as "partial 16S ribosomal RNA". It matches the Rfam family "Bacterial small subunit ribosomal RNA", at positions 338 to 795 of the family's 1533-position model. The record is from RNAcentral.